Molecule: ribosomal RNA, 245 nt
Filed under: uncultured bacterium
Lineage: Bacteria
Description: partial 16S ribosomal RNA
Rfam family: Bacterial small subunit ribosomal RNA
Source: RNAcentral
CACACAGUAAACGAUGAAUACUCGCUGUUUGCGAUAUACAGUAAGCGGCCAAGCGAAAGCAUUAAGUAUUCCACCUGGGGAGUACGCCGGCAACGGUGAAACUCAAAGGAAUUGACGGGGACCCGCACAAGCAGCGGAGCAUGUGGUUUAAUUCGAUGCAACGCGAAGAACCUUACCAGGGCUUGACAUCCCCCGGACGGAACUAGAGAUAGUUCAUUCCCUUCGGGGACUGGGGAGACAGGUGG